GGUUUUACGACAUCACCUUCCUUACACCUAGAGCCGCUCGCUCUACGGCCGGAACCUUGUUGCUAGGGAGAGGACGGUUUGCGGCAACCGUAGAAGCAGCUGAGUUUGAAUUGAGGGGAGAGGGAAAAGUUUCCCUCAGGUGUCGAGGGAUGGGGGAGGGGGCCGUUGGGAAACUGUGGGGACGUGGUCAGAAGGGCGGCAGGCAGUCGGAGUGAGAAAGGAUAAUUUAUUAGUGAUACGUCUUCCUUACAAUUUGUGGAAGGCUUCACCAAUGAAGCCAUUUGGGCUUGGAGUUUUCUUCAGGAAAUCCUCACCAAGGAGCCUCUGACCUCUUGAGACAGUGGAAGAAGCCCUGUGGUUCCAGAGAAACUCAAGACCAAAGCUAUCGAGUGGUGCCCCACUGCACCCCCCAACCAAGGAGGAGGCACAGCCUAGAGGUGGACAGCCUGGAAUAUUCCACUGCACACUGAAAUCAUGUUGGGAGAGAAAUCAGGCUAUUCUAACUUGCCCGUUAAUGUAUAGAAUUACUUAGAAUUAAUUCCACUGAGUUGUUUCUAUUUGAAAAGAACUGUAUCAGGAACUGGAAGUGUAAAAUGCUGUCCAAUAAAGAAGGCAUAAUUAGAUGAGGAUGUAAGUUAUUACAAUGUAAAGUUAAAUCGGAAGCAGAUUUAACAUGAAGUGAAAGAAGUCCCAGUGUCCGUGCCCCUCACUUACACGGGCCCCUUCUGAUACUCCAGGAGAGACCCUAGAAACAUAGGUGGUCAUAUAUUCUGGUAAACUUGGCAAACGCGAGUUUUUUUUAAACUACAGUUAACCUGUCUCUUUCCCAUCUUACUUUCCCUACUGUUGAAAGGGCCAAUGACAUUUUUGAGACCCAAAACUGAUUGCCAGCUGCACUGGUGUAGGAGUGAUUUCUAGAAACGUCUUACUACCCCUGUGCUGAUUCAUUGAGUUCAUGGCUUGAGGGUACAGAGCAGAGGCUCUACCAUGACGGGAACAUACACUGUGGCACUCAGCUUAGGAAGUAGGUGGGUCCUGGAGGAGAUGCAAGGGUCUGAAGUGUGUGUAGCCAGAAAUGAGUCUGGAGAAUUCUUCCCAUCAGACGUGUAGAACUGUAAAUGGAGGAUUUGAUUCUCAGUAGUGCCUGGUCAGAACAGAACUUGCCAAAGUCAGGAAUAUUCUUAAUAACACAGCAUAAGCAGUUAUACGCGUGUACACGCACCACCCAUUCUUUCUGUGGGUAAUUGCACAAAAUAAUAGAAUCUGUAGGUCUCGAGGCACAACCCGGCGGGAGUACUACAAAGGAGUCCAUCUAUAUGUGAAGUUCUCUAUCCUAGUCAUUCCAGUUACCAACAAUAAAAACAUGUGACCAGCCAUCACAGAGGAAAGACAGGUAGCUACUGAACGAAAAUGUUAUUUUUCUAGAUUUUGAAAUAUUCGUUGUAUUCGUUAACUCAUUAAGACUUGAUUUUGGUGUGAUUUUUUUAUUUUAAAUAAAUAUGCAAGUUCGGGGCGCCUGGGUAGCGCAGUCGUUAAGCGUCUGCCUUCAGCUCAGGGCGUGAUCCUGGUGUUCCGGGAUCGAGUCCCACA
Ailuropoda melanoleuca (giant panda) is the source of this 1590-nucleotide long non-coding RNA. RefSeq lists it as uncharacterized. The transcript has 3 exons. The record is from RefSeq and is a predicted model, not a curated record. NCBI's taxonomy places the organism in Eukaryota, Metazoa, Chordata, Mammalia, Carnivora, Ursidae.